RNAcentral lists this ribosomal RNA (254 nucleotides) under uncultured bacterium. RNAcentral describes it as "partial 16S ribosomal RNA". It matches the Rfam family "Bacterial small subunit ribosomal RNA", at positions 524 to 776 of the family's 1533-position model. The record is from RNAcentral.
UACGUAGGGGGCAAGCGUUGUCCGGAUUUAUUGGGCGUAAAGAGCGUGUAGGCGGCUUUACAGGUCCGCUGUGAAAACUCGAGGCUCAACCUCGAGCUGUCGGUGGAAACCGUAAAGCUAGAGUCCGGAAGAGGAGAGUGGAAUUCCCGGUGUAGCGGUGAAAUGCGCGGAUAUCGGGAAGAACACCCGUGGCGAAGGCGGCUCUCUGGGACGGUACUGACGCUGAGACGCGAAAAGCGUGGGGAGCGAACAGG